CUUUUUUAAUUGUCUGUUGUUUUUUUCAUAUUGCUUUUCACAGCUAACAUGAAUUUAUUAUUUUAUUGAACAAAAAAUAAGACAGGAUUUAAAUUUCAAAAUAAAAAAACCAUGCGUGUGCUAUAAGUUCAGUAUAACAAAAACGAUUGUCAGACCCAAAAGUAAAGGCAUGAUAUACGAAUAAUGUGAGAAAGAAAAAGCUAGUACGGACAGAAACUACACGAAUCUCAAUCAAUUCAGUAAUAAUGCAGGGACGUGCAUGCUGGGGUCUUGAAAAGGACGACGAAUGAGCAACGUCUGAUGAGUGAUGGGGCCCAGGUCCAGUGACGAAUGGAUCAAGAUUGGGGUGGGGGGUAUUACUGAUCAAACUUGAAACAUUUCAGUCGCUAAUUAAUCUUUUUCCCCAAAUUGUUGGCGAGCGGGGGGCGGGGAGUAAAAAAAACAGUCUGAACAUACCAUUUUCAGUGACUUUCGAAUUAAUGCACCGUUAAAUUUUUCUGUAAUAUUUUCGUAAAUUUAGACUUUUAAAAUAUAAAUUUCAAAAUUAAAAUCUAUAUUUUUAUCUUUUCCAAUGUUUUAAUUUUAGGGGCCCAUGAUGGCAGGGGCCCACAUCAAGUUUUCGUCGGCUCGUCCCUAGCCAGCACGACCCUGAUUUAAUGCAUCUAUUUACAGAGACAGAUGAGACAUGAAACCUCUUGAACUAAUCGGGAACGUUGUCUGACAUUAUACUGUAAAUAUCAAAAUUAAUAAAAUAUAAAGCUAUUUAGGCUACAUUUCUAUACAUAUAAUCAAUAUAUAAAUUACACAUCUGCAGGUAUAACAAAUUAGAAUUUUAAUAGUCUCAUACAAUAACAUCUCAAGAGUUAUUUUAUCUAAAAACAAUUCAUGGGAUUUACGCUCAAUGCUUGAAAUGAGCUGGAAAAUCUUAUUUAUGGUGGCAACAUGUAAAAAUACGCUCCAGUGUACUGAAGUCCACUCCUGGUGAUUGUUAGUUUAUGGUUUGGUACAUUAAGUCCAUAUUGGCAGUGCUUCUGGUAUGUUGCCGGGAAACUGUUGACAAUGAAUGGUUUGAACGUAUAGCUAUUAGUCUAUUACUUAAUUAAAUAGUCUGGAGUCAAGUUAUUUAAAGAUUUAUAUUAAACUAGGCCAACUACCCUAUACAUAACUCUGUAAUUUAUCGAUAAAAUGUUUGACUGUUCGAAAAGUGGUUUAGAUGGAGAAAGUUUUGUAGUUUAUAUAUAUUCUUGAUGUGUGUGGUGAUGUCCCCAAGCAGUACAACAAUGAUCAAUCCUUGGUUGAAAGGACGUGUUAUAAAAUAGAAUCCUUGUUUUAAGUGGCAGAUACAUUUUGAUUCGGCG
Molecule: non-coding RNA, 1358 nt
Organism: Paramuricea clavata
Lineage: Eukaryota; Metazoa; Cnidaria; Anthozoa; Malacalcyonacea; Plexauridae
Source: the annotation of a GenBank genome assembly